Molecule: non-coding RNA, 694 nt
Organism: Cyanistes caeruleus (blue tit)
Lineage: Eukaryota; Metazoa; Chordata; Aves; Passeriformes; Paridae
Source: RefSeq, a predicted model, not a curated record
UGUCACAUUAGCUCUUCCAAUUGUAAAGGCAUCCUUGACGGGACAGCACAUCUUAAUAAUGCCAAACAUCAUCUUCACCAUAGCUCUUCCAAGUAGGCAGGGGCUCAUAAUCAGUUCAGACUCCAUUGGGAGGCCAUCAGCUGGAUGAGGAACAAUUGACCUUUCAGGAAGAGCUGUACAAUUAGAGGCAAGCUAGAUAGAAGAGCACACAAGAUAGAGUGAAAUUGGAAAGCAGCAUAUUUGCAUCAGAUAAGAACCAAGAGGGUGCUGGGACAUAGGUUCUCUCCGUCUUCAGGCAGAGAAAAUGCAUCCAAAAUCUACUUUUCAGGAGUGUAGCUGGAGAGUUUUUGUGCUGUGAACCAAACUUCCAGGAGCAAAAUAUCGAUACUGAAGAAUUUAAAUGGCAGAACCCAUCUCCCCACCCUGCAGUUUGCCUCAUGUGGAUGAAGAUGAGGAGAGCACUUGUUGCAGGCUCUUCCCUUUGGAAGCUCUUCAGUGUUAUAAAUCACAGCUCCAGCAAACUGGAUUGAAUUACAACUGAAUUGAAUGCACUUCUAUAGCACCUUCCCCCAGGGAUCUAAACCAAUUUUCUCACCAUUGCUAAAUGCUGAACUUCCCUUGUACCCUUGCAGACUUGACCAAGCACUGUGGGCUCCAGCUUCUGAAAAAAGGCACUUAGAAGUCAAUUCAGGUA